GCUGGCGGCGCGCCUAACACAUGCAAGUCGAACGAGAAAGUGGAGCAAUCCAUGAGUAAAGUGGCGUACGGGUGAGUAACACGUGGAUCAUCUGCCCUUUUGUGGGGAAUACCGCUGGGAAACCGGCGACAAUACCGCAUAAGCCCGAGAGGGGAAAGCAGCAAUGCGCAGAAGGAGGAGUCCGCGGUCGAUUAGUUAGUUGGCGGGGUAAAGGCCCACCAAGACUGUGAUCGAUAGCCGGCCUGAGAGGGCACACGGCCACACUGGCACUGAAACACGGGCCAGACUCCUACGGGAGGCAGCAGUGGGGAAUCUUGCACAAUGGGGGAAACCCUGAUGCAGCGACGCCGCGUGAGCGAUGAAGCCCCUCGGGGUGUAAAGCUCUUUCGGCAGGGAAGAUUAUGACGGUACCUGCAAAAGCAGCUGCGGCUAACUACGUGCCAGCAGCCGCGGUAAUACGUAGGCAGCAAGCGUUGUUCGGAGUUACUGGGCGUAAAGGGUGCGUAGGCGGCUUUUUAAGUUUGGUGUGAAAUCUCCCGGCUCAACUGGGAGGGUGCGCCGAAUACUGAGAGGCUAGAGUGUGGGAGA
Molecule: ribosomal RNA, 588 nt
Filed under: uncultured soil bacterium
Lineage: Bacteria
Description: bacterial SSU rRNA
Rfam family: Bacterial small subunit ribosomal RNA
Source: RNAcentral